GAGGGUAUAGCUCAGUGGUAGAGUGCGGGUUUAGCAUACCUGAGGUCCUGGGUUCAGUCCCCGAUACCUCCA
This 72-nucleotide transfer RNA is filed under the name Camelus bactrianus (Bactrian camel). It matches the Rfam family "tRNA". Rfam says of the family: Transfer RNA (tRNA) molecules are approximately 80 nucleotides in length. Their secondary structure includes four short double-helical elements and three loops (D, anti-codon, and T loops). The record is from Rfam by way of RNAcentral. RNAcentral also lists the same sequence under 2 other names. Lineage: Eukaryota; Metazoa; Chordata; Mammalia; Artiodactyla; Camelidae.